RNAcentral lists this ribosomal RNA (440 nucleotides) under uncultured Phyllobacterium sp. RNAcentral's name for it is "bacterial SSU rRNA". It matches the Rfam family "Bacterial small subunit ribosomal RNA", at positions 338 to 795 of the family's 1533-position model. Lineage: Bacteria; Pseudomonadati; Pseudomonadota; Alphaproteobacteria; Hyphomicrobiales; Phyllobacteriaceae. The record is from RNAcentral.
CCUACGGGAGGCAGCAGUGGGGAAUAUUGGACAAUGGGCGAAAGCCUGAUCCAGCCAUGCCGCGUGAGUGAUGAAGGCCCUAGGGUUGUAAAGCUCUUUCACCGGUGAAGAUAAUGACGGUAGCCGGAGAAGAAGCCCCGGCUAACUUCGUGCCAGCAGCCGCGGUAAUACGAAGGGGGCUAGCGUUGUUCGGAUUUACUGGGCGUAAAGCGCACGUAGGCGGACUAUUAAGUCAGGGGUGAAAUCCCGGGGCUCAACCCCGGAACUGCCUUUGAUACUGGUAGUCUUGAGUUCGAGAGAGGUGAGUGGAAUUCCGAGUGUAGAGGUGAAGUUCGUAGAUAUUCGGAGGAACACCAGUGGCGAAGGCGGCUCACUGGCUCGAUACUGACGCUGAGGUGCGAAAGCGUGGGGAGCAAACAGGAUUAGAUACCCCUGUAGUC